Molecule: long non-coding RNA, 1068 nt
Organism: Myotis brandtii (Brandt's bat)
Lineage: Eukaryota; Metazoa; Chordata; Mammalia; Chiroptera; Vespertilionidae
Exons: 3
Source: RefSeq, a predicted model, not a curated record
UGACCUCCUGGUUCAUAGGUCGACGCUCAACCACUGAGCCACGCUGGCCCAGCACAAUGACAACCCUUAAUGUCACACUCAACCAUCCCAGCAGCCCUUCGGAGAGGCAUUGCUCUUGUCCCAUUUUGUGGAUGAGAAGCCCAAGGCACAGAGGCGUUAAAUCAGGUGCACAGUUCUGGCUGGAGAGUGGCAGCCGUAGUAUCUGAGCCCGGGCAGUGGGACCGUGUGUGCAACGGCGGCUCAGAGAGGUCUGACACCUGACCAAGGCCACACAAUCAACGAGACAAAAAAAGGGCCUGGACACUUAGCUUUCUGACUCCAACUCACACGCCCCUCAGCAGUUGUCCUUGUGCCCCUCAGCUUGUCCUGUUGCACAGCUAGAGGGUGGGACUGGACUGGUUUGGAGCGGCACCUACCCUGGGACCGGUCCCAUUAAAGCAUAAAUAAUACAUGUGCCGGCGCGCGGCCCAGGACGCUCCCCAGAGCGCCGCCGGGGGAACCGGACCCUUCCCUGGGUAUCAGGUGGGAAACAGGCCACUUGGGGCUGCUUGUUGGUUACUUAUUCACAGCCUUCCAUGUCACACCUCACACCUCGGUGGACUGGGCCGGCUGCGCCCAGCUACAGAGAGGAUGGACGAGGCCGCCUGUGACCGAGGAGCCUGAAGCAGCAGGAAACGACAGGAUCAUGCAGCCUUGGACUGUUAGAAGAAAUUACUAACGAAGGAAGGAAACGUAGGAGUCCAGAUUCUAACGGAACUGGGGCCUGACCUUACCAGCUCAUGGCCCAGCAGUCUUCCCUUUCUUGCUCUCUCUUCCAGGGUAGGCAUGACCCUGCUCUUCCUGGUGGGCUGCGUCUUCUUCCCGCUGAUCUUUGCUCUCCUCUGCUGGGGCCUGCAGAACCACUCCAGCCUGCAGAUGCCGAGGCCGGAGGCUGUUUUGGUGGCAUCCAAGUAAGAGGACAGGGUGAGGGCAUCCUUCCUGGGGCCAGGGCUCCUGCAGCUGGUCUCCUCCUUCCAGGAAGGGUUAGUGGUGAGAGCAGAAGCAGAGUGUGAGUGUGUGUGAGUGUGU